Long non-coding RNA from Capra hircus (goat), 4910 nucleotides. The record is from Ensembl. NCBI's taxonomy places the organism in Eukaryota, Metazoa, Chordata, Mammalia, Artiodactyla, Bovidae.
GUUUCCUCCAAUUUGUGAGAGCUCCCCAGUCUUUCCUUGCUUUGCAUGACACUGAAUACCAUACUUGUUGGCUCUCUGUUAAUGCAUUUAUUAAUCCAUCUGGUUGACCCAUCAGCUCAUGGUGUCAGACUCUAUGCCAGGCACUGGGGGCUCAGAAAUGAAUCAGGAGAGGCGCCUGACCUCAAGGAGCUCACAGACAAGGAGACUGUCAGAGCCAGAGCAUGAGAUCAGAGCGAUAACAGCAUGGCAGGGCAAGGCCCAGCAUCUCCAGGAAUGACACCGUCAUCAGCAGGGCCCAACGUGCAAAGCGGAUGGAGGUGUGCAAGGAAAGGCUGAGUGCCUCUGCCUUUUGUCUUUCUGAAAAGCCCUUAGCAAACUUUUCCUUACAUCUCCUUGGCCAGAAUCUUAUGUCCAGUCCUAGAUCAAUCACCGAAAAGAAGAAAUGGAAGAGCUGAAACUGGCUUAGAACGACCCGGACUCACUUUUGGAAGCAGAGCACCAUCGGGAUACUGUUUUCUGAGGAAGAGGCCAGAAUGGCUGUUGGAUGGGUGCCUGCCGCAGGCCCUUCAGUUGCUCUGGAAGUUUUUCACUGGGGAAAUAAUACUGCCUCAAACAGUCUUUUGCAUAAAGAUUUCCCCACAUUUAAAAUGGUCUCCUGGAUUUCCCUGGUGGUCCCGUGGUUAAGAGUCUGUCUGCUAAUGAAGGGGACACAGGUCUUGACUCCCAGGCAGGGAAGACACCACAUGCUUCAGAGCAGCGGCACCCAUGCGCCUCAUCUGCUAAAGCCCGCCCGCCCUAGGCCCGAGCUCUGCAGCAGGAGAAGCCGCUGCAACGGGGAGCGCUGCUCAGAGCAACCAGGCGAAGCCUGCACAGCCACGAAGACGCCGCGCGGCAGAGGAUCACCUUCGAGAUAACGAAGAUGAGCAUCUCUGGCAGCACACAGACCUUCUCAAGAGCUCAAGAUUCAAGAACACACAGGCAAGCGGACCAAACCAGCUGCCCUGCCCGCAUCCUCCUCUAAGCCCCUCCAUCCCUGGAGAGGAGGGGCUGCCACAGCAAACUUGGAUGUUUUGCAUCCUCAGAACAUGUGCGCACAUCUGGAGGAAUGGCUACAAAGAUUAAUGUCACACUCAGUGUCAGAAUCCCCCUUGACAUUUCCUCAGUUUAUCUGAACAAUUUAGGGGAGCCCUCUGGGGCGCAGGAACCACACUCUGCAGUGCAAGGCCAGCACUUAACCUCUUGAAUCCUCAUUUCCCUGGAGAUGUGAAUGCAAGUUUUAUUCUUUAAUUGCUAAAACAAUCAGGUCCUGUACAAGACAGAUAUAGCAAGAACUUGAAAGAACUUAAAGCAAGAAUACAUAAAAGGAAAAUCUGAACACAUUGGGUUAACAGGAAUUUUAAUGUCUACCCUUGCCUGGCAAAUCCCAUGGACGGAGGAGGCUGGUGGGCCGCAGUCCAUGGGGUCUCUAGGAGUUGGACACGACUGAGCGACUUCACUUUCACUUUUCACUUUCAUGCACUGGAGAAGGAAAUGGCAACCCACUCCAGUGUUCUUGCCUGGAGAAUCCCAGGGAUGGGGGAGCCUGGUGGGCUGCCGUCUCUGGGGUCGCACAGAGUUGGACAUGACUGAAGCGACUUAGCAGCAGCAGCAGCAAGCAGAGUUUGAGAGCCAGCAGAAAAUAGAAACUAAAUGAGAAAGAAAUUAGUGUUUUUGAAACCAUUAUUCCUGUUAACCAGGAUCUUGAACCAAAUGAAGCACUUUAAGCAUCAGAGAAUAUUUUGUUACAUUUAUCCCCCUACUGUCUGAAAUUUAGUUUGGUUUCAAAUCAGUUAACUGCUAUUUAAAAAUUAUUUUCUCUGGGAAUGAUGCAUGUCAUGUAACUAAUGUAUCUUCCAUAUUGCUUUGGCUGCCAGGGGACUCAGGAACUCGAAUUACUAUAUAGGUCUUGCAUAUCUAUGUCAUAAUAUUCCCUCUGGUUUUGAUUUUUCCCCCGAUCCUGGUUUUUAUCUACUUAGAUUUUUGUUUUAUUGCAUGUAUUUCUUAUAAGCCCUCUCAAAUCUUUUGUUAGAUGGAUUUGUAGAUCAAAACAACUUGGAUCUGUGGUUCAGUUUAAGAAGAAAUGAACAUUUCAGUUUGGUUUUAAAGUUCAGCAAAUUAGUGUGAUUAGCUCUGAUUUGAGGUUUACAGUUCUAUUACGUUAAAGUCCCUGGUAUUUAAUACAUCAAAGAGCUUGAGAGCUUGACUUAACCUCCUGCGUGUUAACACUACACAGUGCAUUGCGUGUCUGUUUCCAAUGAUUCUGGGGUACGACGCUCUUCAAGGUUCUGUCCUGGAUUCUUGCUCACCCCUUAGGCAUGGUGGAAUGGAUGUGUGAGCAUUGACUUUCAAACACAGAUGCCACGAAGAGUUUAGAAAGGAAAGUGAUCUCCCUGACUCCAGCCUUUCCCUGCAUUUUCUCGUUCAAAGAGAUGAAGGCCCAAGUCUUCAGGGUACGAGAGCCCACACAUCCUUCCUGGCCACGUGUUCCCCUUCACAUGACAGCCAGGUGACGUGGAGAGAUUCUUGCAUCCUGCACCCAUGCAUCAGGACCCUUCCCACCAGGAAAUGGAGAAGUUCUGGCACAAGAGGCAGCAGUCAUUCCGAGGAAGAAGAGAGAUCAGAAACAUUGCUUAGGCCCGGAUCCCAAAGUUUUGACUCUCCACGGUGGCCCUGGUGGAUCCUCCAAGAGUCCUCUGGGUUCCAUCAAAGACCAUUUAGCUUAUACUGAUGUCUAGACAGAUAUCAGUUUGUAGUGGUGGAACCAGGCUCCCUGGGUUCUGGGUGCUGCUAAGACAUUCACUCUUAGUUUGAGCUUGACAAACUCAUUACCAGGUCUGUGUCCCUACUUCCUCCCAGGCCAGUGGAAGGGGAGGAAAUUGAGAGAAGGGAACCAAUAUGCGUUAGAUCUCUACUAUCUUCCAAAGACCACAUUUGCCAUUACCCAGAAUCAUCAUUUCUUAGCCACAUGACUUUGACUAAUGACUUCCUCUCAACCCGUUUCUUCGUCUGAGAGUGGAAAUUAUAUAUAUAUAUAUAUACAUUUAUACAUAUAUAUGUAUAUAUAUAUAUACACACACACAUGUGUGCUGAGCUGCUUCAGUUGUGUCCAACUCUUGUGACCCCAUGGACUGCAGCCUGCCAUGCUCCUCUGUCCAUGGGAUUCUCCAGGCAGGAAUACUGGAGUGGGUUGCUUCUCUAUCCAGUGAUACGGAGAUGAUGAAGCUAAAGUUUCAGAGCUCUCCUUUUGCACAUGGGUCCUCUGACCAGAAAGGAGCUCUGGACGCAUAUUUGCAUGUCUUAUUAAAAUUAGAAGAGUAAGGUAUCUUUGGCAUUACUGGCUAAGGACGGCUGUCUCCUCCCACUUGCUUCCUCACUCUGCCAUGCUCAUUUUGGAGAUCAGGCUAAGUUAAGCACGACGUGGGUUACAUUUGCCUUGAGUUUAGUGGAACACACAUGUGUAUGGCCAUCUCAGCGUAUGAAUGGGCUCUAAAUACGUGUCUGCCUCCCUUUGAAUACUCCUGUCUCUCAUGGCUAGGAAUAUCGGCAUGAAGACGCACAGCCAGAGUGCAUCUUCCCAAAUGUGAAAGUUUCCCAGAGUGCUUUGCAUGGUGACUUAGUAAAGAAUCCGCCUACAAUGCAGAAGACCCAUGUUCGAACCAUGGGUCAGGAAGAUCCCCUGGAGCAGGGAAUGGCUACCCACUCCAGUAUUCUCACCUGGAGAAUCCCAUGGAUGGCGGAGCCUGGUGGGCUACAGUCUAUGGGGUUGCAAAGAGUCGGGCAUGACUGAGUGACAAACACUUUAGAGUGCUCUGCACCAGAAGCAAGUGGGUAGCAGAAGAAAAGCAAAGUUUGAAAUAUAUGGCGACAAGAGCUAGUCUGCAGAAAAUACAUCCAAUCAUCAGCCAUGUAAAACUAAACAGGAGAUUUGGUUUUCAUACAUAUCUAAUUAAAAUAGAAAUUCUUCUUAGAAACGUGCUCAGUAAUGUGGCAUAUUGAUUAUAAACUCACUAUUCUUUUUUCUUCUUUUGGUGGGAACUGUGUAAAAUAUCAUUUAUUAAAUUUGUAGAGUACAAACCUCUAGCAGCACUACAAACAGCUAAUAUGAUCUUACCUGAAUUGACUUGUUUUUACAUUUCAGUUCUCAGUAAAAAAACACAUUUUGCCUACCAUGCUAGAGGGAAGACUGGGUUAUCUUUCUGUUCUCUCCGUAGGAAAUAAUGUUAUAUCCUCGUCACAAAAGUGAAGUGACAGUGUUAACUACUCAGUCAUGUCCAACAUUUUGCAACCCCUUGGAUUGUAGCCUGCCAGGCUCCUCUGUCCAUGGAAUUUUCCAGGAAAGAAUACUGGAAUAGGUUGCCUUUCCCUUCUUCAGGGGAUCUUCCUGACCCAGGGAUUCAUCCCGGAUCUCCUGCAUUGUAGGCAGAGCCAACCGUCUGAGCCACCAGGGAAGCCCAGCAUCCUUGUCAUAUAUAAUCAAAUGUGCAGCCAAAACUGUAGGGAUAAAUGUAUUAUAGAGAAGUAAUACAUAGUUAAUUAAAAAUACUAGGUAAAAUUCUGAACUUUUGUGAUUUUUGUGUUAUCUGUCAGCUUUUAAAAAAUGUGUGUUAUUGCUUUCCUUCCACUAAAUAAAUGCUCACUUUUAUGCCUCACUUUUAUUGGUAAUUUUGUAAGCUUCAGGUCCCUCUAAAUCUGCAUCUUCUCAGAAAAUCUGUAUAGUUAUACAUUCUUUCCAAGCAGAUAGCAGAUGUUCACGUGAGAUUUGUAUAAACGGCUCUCCUGACCAAGAUUUGGGCUGCAUAUAGAUAGUAGUUAUUACUAUGAUUGUUAUCACGAGAGAUGCUGCAGAUAAGUUUAUUUUUGAUAGAAGCCUG